This 168-nucleotide ribosomal RNA is filed under the name Spizellomyces sp. AD 020. RNAcentral's name for it is "5.8S ribosomal RNA". It matches the Rfam family "5.8S ribosomal RNA". Rfam says of the family: 5.8S ribosomal RNA (5.8S rRNA) is a component of the large subunit of the eukaryotic ribosome. It is transcribed by RNA polymerase I as part of the 45S precursor that also contains 18S and 28S rRNA. Functionally, it is thought that 5.8S rRNA may be involved in ribosome translocation. The record is from RNAcentral. Lineage: Eukaryota; Fungi; Chytridiomycota; Chytridiomycetes; Spizellomycetales; Spizellomycetaceae.
UACAACUUUUGACAACGGAUCUCUUGGCUCUCGCAUCGAUGAAGAACGUAGCGAAUUGCGAUAAGUAAUGUGAAUUGCAGUUUCAGUGAAUCAUCAAAUCUUUGAACGCAUAUUGCACUCUCUGGUAUUCCGGGGAGUAUGCCUGUUUGAGAACCGUUUUCACCCUCA